UAAGAACAGCAGCCACUGUUUGGCUAAAU
This 29-nucleotide small RNA is filed under the name Bombyx mori (domestic silkworm). Its description in RNAcentral is "ovarian small RNA-5730". Lineage: Eukaryota; Metazoa; Arthropoda; Insecta; Lepidoptera; Bombycidae. The record is from RNAcentral.